CGCCUGCUCUGCUUCUUACAGCUCUUGAUAAGUAUGGUUUCCUCCGUAGGUCAGCAGAGGGGCGAAGGUCACACACCACCUCACCGGGUCGAGCGCGGCCCUAUCUCCACUGCCCAUAGGGCGAUCGAAUCCUGGACAGGGGCGCCCCUUUGUAGAGACCACGGGGGCGGCGGACCCUUUCGCCUCUGACUCUGCGACAAAGACAGACACAGCAGGUCCACCGCAGACUACAACGAGAGAGAGAGAGGGAGAGAGAAAUACAGACAGCCACCACGUCUAACAAUGAGCACAGCUCCGUUCCUCAGCACACACUACGACUAGCUUGACAGCACAAUGCUCCCUUCGGGGUGCUCCUUUUCUCCACCCACGUAUCGCCUUCCUUUCGCCCCAGACAGCUCCUGUCUUCUCUCCGCGCGCUCCAAGCGCAGCCCGGAUCAACAGAGCCUGCGGGCUCGUCAAAAGGUCCACCACGUGCUCAUCUCUACUCAAACUUUUGCAGAGAAAUGAAACAGUGACUGCAUGAUUGAUCUACAGUCGCCACCUGCUGGUGAUAAAAAUGAAUAACAUUAAUAGAAAGUAUGACUUCAACAUAUUUUUGGUGGUAUGGUACAGUGCUUUAUAUAGAUUAAUGGUAUAUGGUACAGUCUUCUUUAGCUUAAAUGUAAAUAUAACAGUGAAUGAAGAUAAUUCUUAAACUGUGUUUAGAUGUAGUUCAAUAAAGUUCAGAGUAUCAGUGAAGCAAGUUUGAG
Non-coding RNA from Paramisgurnus dabryanus, 749 nucleotides. NCBI's taxonomy places the organism in Eukaryota, Metazoa, Chordata, Actinopteri, Cypriniformes, Cobitidae. The record is from RefSeq and is a predicted model, not a curated record.